Halocaridina rubra (Hawaiian volcano shrimp) is the source of this 82-nucleotide non-coding RNA. The record is from the annotation of a GenBank genome assembly. Lineage: Eukaryota; Metazoa; Arthropoda; Malacostraca; Decapoda; Atyidae.
GCCCCGGAAGCUCAUUGGUAGAGCGCGCGAAUCGGGAAGUGCCAAGCCUGAUUAACGUGGGUUAAAAUCCCACUGCGGGGCG